Molecule: ribosomal RNA, 254 nt
Filed under: uncultured bacterium
Lineage: Bacteria
Description: partial 16S ribosomal RNA
Rfam family: Bacterial small subunit ribosomal RNA
Source: RNAcentral
UACGUAGGGGGCGAGCGUUGUCCGGAAUCAUUGGGCGUAAAGAGCUCGUAGGCGGUUCAGUAAGUCAGGUGUGAAAGCUCCGAGCUCAACUCGGAGAGGCCACCUGAUACUGCUGUGACUAGAAUCCAAUAGGGGAGUGUGGAACUCCUGGUGUAGCGGUGAAAUGCGCAGAUAUCAGGAAGAACACCAGCGGCGAAGGCGGCACUCUGGGCUGGAAUUGACGCUGAGGAGCGAAAGUGUGGGUAGCAAACAGG